UGGGGAAUAUUGCACAAUGGGCGAAAGCCUGAUGCAGCAACGCCGCGUGAGCGAUGAAGGCCUUCGGGUCGUAAAGCUCUGUCCUCAAGGAAGAUAAUGACGGUACUUGAGGAGGAAGCCCCGGCUAACUACGUGCCAGCAGCCGCGGUAAUACGUAGGGGGCUAGCGUUAUCCGGAAUUACUGGGCGUAAAGGGUGCGUAGGUGGUUUUUUAAGUCAGAAGUGAAAGGCUACGGCUCAACCGUAGUAAGCUUUUGAAACUGAGAAACUUGAGUGCAGGAGAGGAGAGUAGAAUUCCUAGUGUAGCGGUGAAAUGCGUAGAUAUUAGGAGGAAUACCAGUUGCGAAGGCGGCUCUCUGGACUGUAACUGACACUGAGGCACGAAAGCGUGGGGAGCAAACAGGAUUAGAUACCCUGGUAGUCCACGCCGUAAACGAUGAGUACUAGGUGUCGGGGUUACCCCCUCGGUGCCGCAGCUAACGCAUUAAGUACUCCGCCUGGGAA
This 503-nucleotide ribosomal RNA is filed under the name uncultured Bacillota bacterium. RNAcentral describes it as "bacterial SSU rRNA". It matches the Rfam family "Bacterial small subunit ribosomal RNA", at positions 355 to 879 of the family's 1533-position model. Lineage: Bacteria; Bacillati; Bacillota. The record is from RNAcentral.